This 420-nucleotide ribosomal RNA is filed under the name bacterium. Its description in RNAcentral is "partial 16S ribosomal RNA". It matches the Rfam family "Bacterial small subunit ribosomal RNA", at positions 355 to 776 of the family's 1533-position model. The record is from RNAcentral.
UGGGGGAUAUUGCACAAUGGGCGAAAGCCUGAUGCAGCGACGCCGCGUGGGGGAUGAAGGCUUUCGGGUUGUAAACCUCUUUCGCUAUCGAACAAGGCCCGCUUAGGGUGGGUUGAGGGUAGGUGGAGAAGAAGCGCCGGCUAACUACGUGCCAGCAGCCGCGGUAAUACGUAGGGCGCGAGCGUUGUCCGGAAUUAUUGGGCGUAAAGGGCUUGUAGGCGGCUUGUUGCGCCUGCUGUGAAAACGCGGGGCUUAACUUCGCGCGUGCAGUGGGUACGGGCAGGCUUGAGUGUGGUAGGGGUGACUGGAAUUCCAGGUGUAGCGGUGGAAUGCGCAGAUAUCUGGUGGAACACCGAUGGCGAAGGCAGGUCACUGGGCCAUUACUGACGCUGAGGAGCGACAGCAUGGGUAGCGAACAGG